RNAcentral lists this ribosomal RNA (264 nucleotides) under uncultured bacterium. Its description in RNAcentral is "partial 16S ribosomal RNA". It matches the Rfam family "Bacterial small subunit ribosomal RNA", at positions 793 to 1055 of the family's 1533-position model. The record is from RNAcentral.
GUCCACGCCGUAAACGAUGGGUACUAGGUGCCUGGGGAGCGACCCUCUGGGUGCCGGCGCUAACGCAGGAAGUACCCCGCCUGGGGAGUACGACCGCAAGGUUGAAACUCAAAGGAAUUGACGGGGCCCGCACAAGCGGUGGAGCAUGUGGUUUAAUUCGACGCAACGCGAAGAACCUUACCUAGGCUUGACAUGCAGGAGCAAGCUCUCAGAAAACGAGAGCCCCUCUUCGGAGAUCCUGCACAGGUGCUGCAUGGCUGUCGU